RNAcentral lists this long non-coding RNA (2288 nucleotides) under Podarcis lilfordi (Lilford's wall lizard). The record is from RNAcentral. Lineage: Eukaryota; Metazoa; Chordata; Lepidosauria; Squamata; Lacertidae.
GGCAGGAUCUACAGGGGCAGCGGAACCCAAUGUCACAGAAUCAUAGCAUUGGAAGGGACCCUGAUGCUCUAGGCCAGCGUUUCCCAAACUUAGGUCUCCAGCUAUUUUGGGGCUACAACUCCCAUCAUAUCUAGCUAGCAGGAUCAGUGGUCAGGGAUGAUGGGAUUAGUUGUCAAAAAAACAGCAGGAGACCCAAAUUUGGGAAACCCUGAUGUAGCCCAACGCCCUGCAAUGCAGGAAUAUGCAGCUGUCCCCUUACGGAGGAGAUCAAACCUGCAACCUUGGGGUGAGUGAGCUAUCCAGCUAAAAUUCUUGCACCUGUUGUGGAAUAACAUAUUGGGGGAAAGUUCUUCUUGAUGUUCACCUGGACUCCUUUCUUGUAACUUGACUCUACUGGUUCAGUUCCUACCCUCCGGAGUAGGAGAAAACAGGCUUGCUCCAUCUUCCAUGUGACCCCUUUCCAGGCUAAACAUGCCAAACUCCAUCAAAAGGCUUGAUUUCCAGACCCUUGAUCAUCUUGGUCACCCUCCUCUGCACACAUUCCAGCCUGUCAAUAUCCUUCUGAAAUUGUGGCACCCAGAAUUGGACAGUAUCCACAGGAGUUGUCAGACCAAGGUAGAAUAAGAGCAGGACGAUUACUUUCAUUGAGCAGGAUACCAUAUUCCUGUUGAUGCAGCCAAGGAUAGCAUUAGCUUUUUUUGCUGCUGCAUCACAUAUACUAAUGGCAAUCCAGGUAAACCCCAUCUUAUAUCUGUGCAGCUGGCUAUUUCUGCCCAAAUGUAGAACCUUACAUUUGUCCCUACUGAAAUUCACUGUUAGUUUUGCAUGAAAAGGAACACAAAUGUGGUGGCAUAGAAAUUGAUAAAAAAAAUUCACAGAAGGCAAAGAUACACACUGAGGGAGACAGAGUUAGGACAUAUUUCUUUAAAGUAUUGUUCCUGUGCGAAGAUGGGUAUGGUAAAGACUGGAGCUAAAAGAGGUUUGUUCCUCACGUUCUUUGAAUUUUGGCAUCAAAUAUUCUUGUGACAUCCAACAAGUUUCCAUCUCAAUUUAACACUGACAGUAUGAGAAGUAGUAUGUGGCAGAAUUUAUUAUUUGACAAUUGAGAAAAUGAGAUUAUGACAUUUAUAUGUGAUCCUAAAACUGGAGUUUUCUGGAUAGCUUACAGUGGGGGAAGAUGCAAAUAAUUAUAAAAAAGAGUAUUACUGGCACACAUGUUUGGAGGCGCUUAUAAACCCAAACCUAAAAAUUUAACAGUUAAAAUUAUGGGUGUCAAAAUAUAAAAUGGAGCAUAUGUGAAAAUUCGGUUCAACUGUACCUUCCACAUAUCCAAUAUUUAUUACUAGGUACCAGAGAUGUUUGCACCAUUUUAGUAUCAGGGUCACUAAAGCAGUCCAGAAAGCUAAACUAAGAGAAAUGUGCUACAUUGCUAAGCAAAGGCUGUUUUUCUCUCCUAGAAAAGUCUAGCAACGAUAAAUUACUAGCAGAUCCUGCAGAUGGAGACCUUGAGCACGACAUUUCUAUGCACUGAGACAGUAGGCAAACUGUUUGCUUUGUCUGCAGAUUAAUAGAUACAACAAUCCUUGGUCUCCAAGAGAAAAAUCUUAGUUGUUAUUAUUUAUUAAAAGUAUGCAUUGCUUUUCUGCCCACAAGGGUCUCCAAGGCAACAUAGAGCAAGCACAAACAAUACAUAUCAAAAACACCAAUUAAAAGCAGCAGAGGACUAUCAUUAAAACAAAACCACAGAACUAUAAAUGCAUCAAAAAGCCAGGCAGAACAAAACAAGUUUUUACAGCCCACCUUAAAAAAUAGGCAAGACUGGGCCAAGCUGACCUCCCAGGGGAGGAAUUCCACAAUGCUACAGAAAAGACCCCACCCAAGGUAUCCACCAAACUAGCAUCUCUCCAUGGUGGUACACACAACAGGGCCUCUGAUGAGGGCAAUAAUUUUUGGACCUGCUCAUACAGGAGGAAAAGAUAUCCUGGCCACAAAGCAUUUAGAGCUUUAUAGGUAAGAACCAGCACCCUGAAUUGUUCUUGAAAACAAACAAGUGUAGUUGAUGCAAGACUAGUGUUGUGGUUCCAUAAAGUGCACACUUGAUGACAGUUUUGCACCAGCUGCAAUUUCUGAUCACCCUUCAGUGAUGGCCUCAUGUAGGAAAACCCAUGUAAGAUGAGAAAACCGUUUCCUUAAAGCCUGGAAUGAACAGACAAUGCCACCAUGCAUAGAUAUUGUUAUGAGGAGUAAUAAUAUCUCCAAUAUCACUACGGAGAACAAAUAUAUAUAUA